GAUGAACGCUAGCUACAGGCUUAACACAUGCAAGUCGAGGGGAAACGACAUCGAAAGCUUGCUUUUGGUGGGCGUCGACCGGCGCACGGGUGAGUAACGCGUAUCCAACCUGCCCACCACUUGGGGAUAACCUUGCGAAAGUAAGACUAAUACCCGAUGAUAUCCCUAGACGACAUCUGAAAGGGAUUAAAGAUUUAUCGGUGAUGGAUGGGGAUGCGUCUGAUUAGCUUGUUGGCGGGUAACGGCCCACCAAGGCAACGAUCAGUAGGGGUUCUGAGAGGAAGGUCCCCCCACAUUGGAACUGAGACACGGUCCAAACUCCUACGGGAGGCAGCAGUGAGGAAUAUUGGUCAAUGGAC
Molecule: ribosomal RNA, 359 nt
Filed under: uncultured bacterium
Lineage: Bacteria
Description: bacterial SSU rRNA
Rfam family: Bacterial small subunit ribosomal RNA
Source: RNAcentral